Molecule: ribosomal RNA, 478 nt
Filed under: uncultured bacterium
Lineage: Bacteria
Description: partial 16S ribosomal RNA
Rfam family: Bacterial small subunit ribosomal RNA
Source: RNAcentral
GACGAACGCUGGCGGCGUGCUUAACACGUGCAAGUCGAACGGUAAGGCCCUUCGGGGUACACGAGUGGCGAACGGGUGAGUAACACGUGGGUGGUCUGCCCUGCACUUCGGGAUAAGCCUGGGAAACUGGGUCUAAUACCGGAUAGGACCACUGCCUGCAUGGGUGGUGGUGGAAAGCUUUUGCGGUGUGGGAUGGGCCCGCGGCCUAUCAGCUUGUUGGUGGGGUGAUGGCCUACCAAGGCGACGACGGGUAGCCGGCCUGAGAGGGUGACCGGCCACACUGGGACUGAGAUACGGCCCAGACUCCUACGGGAGGCAGCAGUGGGGAAUAUUGCACAAUGGGCGCAAGCCUGAUGCAGCGACGCCGCGUGAGGGAUGACGGCCUUCGGGUUGUAAACCUCUUUCAGCACCGACGAAGCGCAAGUGACGGUAGGUGCAGAAGAAGGACCGGCCAACUACGUGCCAGCAGCCGCGGUAA